CCACCUUUGACAUGGCAGGAAGGCUCCAGAGAUGGGGCUGUGCUCGAAAGAGAACCUGCACACAGGUGCUGCAUGGCUGUCGUCAGCUCGUGUCGUGAGAUGUUGGGUUAAGGCCCGCAACGAGCGCAACCCUUGUGUUUAGUUGCCAACAGGUUAAGCUGUGCACUCUAAACAGACUGCCGUGGAUAACACGGAGGAAGGUGGGGAUGACGUCAAAUCAUCAUGCCCCUUAUGAUCUGGGCUACACACGUGCUACAAUGGUCGGUACAACGGGCAGCGAAAGAGUAAUCUGGAGCGAAUCCUAAAAAGCCGAUCCCAGUUCGGAUUGUGGGCUGAAACUCGCCCACAUGAAGUUGGAGUUGCUAGUAAUCGCGAAUCAGAAUGUCGCGGUGAAUGCGUUCCC
RNAcentral lists this ribosomal RNA (403 nucleotides) under uncultured bacterium. RNAcentral's name for it is "bacterial SSU rRNA". It matches the Rfam family "Bacterial small subunit ribosomal RNA", at positions 974 to 1375 of the family's 1533-position model. The record is from RNAcentral.